This 98-nucleotide microRNA precursor is filed under the name Dufourea novaeangliae. RNAcentral's name for it is "mir-2788 microRNA precursor family". It matches the Rfam family "mir-2788 microRNA precursor family". The record is from Rfam by way of RNAcentral. Lineage: Eukaryota; Metazoa; Arthropoda; Insecta; Hymenoptera; Halictidae.
CGAGUUUGUUGUGGCAGGGUUGGGGUUUCUAUGCGGCAUGUGCCUUGAUUUUAAAAAUGUAAUGCCCUUCGAAACCUCAAAAAUGUCCAACACUUGUC